CCUUGUACACACCGCCCGUCACACCAUGGAAGUUGGUUUUACCUGAAGGCGGUGCGCUAACCCGCAAGGGAGGCAGCCGACCACGGUAGGGUCAGCGACUGGGGUG
RNAcentral lists this ribosomal RNA (106 nucleotides) under uncultured bacterium. RNAcentral describes it as "partial 16S ribosomal RNA". It matches the Rfam family "Bacterial small subunit ribosomal RNA", at positions 1379 to 1482 of the family's 1533-position model. The record is from RNAcentral.